CUUGUAAGAAGUCCCGCCUGCCCCGUGACGUUUAACGGCUGCAGUAAUAUAACUGUACAAAGGUAGCGUAAUCACCUGUCUUUUAAUUGAAGACCUGUAUGAAUGGCAUCACGAGGAUUUAACUGUCUCUACUUUUCAAUCAAUGAAAUUGUUUUUCCCGUGCAAAAACGGGAAUAUAUCUAUAAGACGAGAAGACCCUGUGGAGCUUUUUGGUUGGGGCGACCAUGAAGCUUCAAACACGAAUUCUAAUUAACAGAUUCUGACCAGACCCAGGAUUAAUGAACUAAGUUACCCCAGGGAUAACAGCGCAAUUUUCUUCAAGAGCCCCUAUCGACAAGAAAGUUUACGACCUCGAUGUUGGAUCAGGACAYCCCGUUUAGUCGUAAACUUAGUGCCGCCAGGAUACUACGAGCAACUGCUUAAAAACCAAAGGACCUGGCGGUGCUUUACUCCCCCUAGAGGAGCCUGUUUCCUAACCGAUAAUCCCCGUUCUACCUCACCCCUUCUCGUCAGCCUAUAUACCGCCGUCUUCAGUCUACCUUUCAAAGAACAAUAUUAGGCAAAAUAUCAAC
Molecule: ribosomal RNA, 572 nt
Filed under: Opsanus pardus (leopard toadfish)
Lineage: Eukaryota; Metazoa; Chordata; Actinopteri; Batrachoidiformes; Batrachoididae
Description: partial 16S ribosomal RNA
Rfam family: Bacterial large subunit ribosomal RNA
Source: RNAcentral